GCUGUCCUUAGUACGAGAGGACCGGGAUGGACGCACCUCUGGUGCACCAGUUGUCACGCCAGUGGCACAGCUGGGUAGCUAUGUGCGGACGGGAUAAGCGCUGAAAGCAUCUAAGCGUGAAGCCCCCUUCAAGAUGAGACUUCCCAUAGCGCAAGCUAGUAAGACCCCUUAUAGACGAUGAGGUUGAUAGGUUCGGUGUGGAAGUGCAGUAAUGCAUGGAGCUGACGAAUACUAAUCGGUCGAGGACUUAUCCACA
This 256-nucleotide ribosomal RNA is filed under the name Brevibacillus laterosporus. RNAcentral describes it as "partial 23S ribosomal RNA". It matches the Rfam family "Bacterial large subunit ribosomal RNA", at positions 2671 to 2925 of the family's 2925-position model. Lineage: Bacteria; Bacillati; Bacillota; Bacilli; Caryophanales; Paenibacillaceae. The record is from RNAcentral.